CAGAGUUUACAACUCCCUAAACCAUUGUGAACCUACCUUCUACCGUUGCUUCGGCGGAUCAGGCCCAGCGCCCCCCGUACCCCCGGGACGGCCCGCCGAGGAUACCCUAAACUCUUGUAUUAGUGGAACUCUCUGAGUAUUCUUAAACUAAUAAAGUCA
RNAcentral lists this unclassified non-coding RNA (159 nucleotides) under soil metagenome. RNAcentral's name for it is "partial internal transcribed spacer 1". The record is from RNAcentral.